CCUACGGUGAGCUGCAGUGGGGGCUAUUGCACAAUGGGGGAAACCCUGAUGCAGCGACGCCGCGUGGGCGACGACGUAUUUCGGUAUGUAAAGCCCUAUCAGCAGGGAAGACGAAAUGACGGUACCUGAGUCAGAAGCACCGGCUAAAUACGUGCCAGCAGCCGAUGUCAUACGUAUGGUGCAAGCGUUAUCCGGAUUUACUGGGUGUAACGGGAGCGCAGGCGGCACGGCAAGCCUGAUGUGAAAGCCCGCGGCCCAACCGCGGGACUGCAUUGGGAACUACCGGGCUGGAGUGCCGGAGAGGUAGGCGGAAUUCCGAGUGUAGCGGUGAAAUGCGUAGAUAUUAGGAGGAACACCAGUGGCGAAGGCGGCCUACUGGACGGUGACUGACGCUGAGGCUCGAAAGCGUGGGGAGCAAACAGGAUUAGAUACCCUUGUAGUC
RNAcentral lists this ribosomal RNA (442 nucleotides) under uncultured bacterium. RNAcentral's name for it is "partial 16S ribosomal RNA". It matches the Rfam family "Bacterial small subunit ribosomal RNA", at positions 338 to 795 of the family's 1533-position model. The record is from RNAcentral.